This 240-nucleotide unclassified non-coding RNA is filed under the name soil metagenome. RNAcentral's name for it is "partial contains 5.8S ribosomal RNA, internal transcribed spacer 2, and large subunit ribosomal RNA". The record is from RNAcentral.
AACGCACGAGACCUGCGGACCUGCGGAAGGAUCAUUACCGAGUUUACAACUCCCAAACCCAAUGUGAACGUUACCAAACUGUUGCCUCGGCGGGGUCACGCCCCGGGUGCGUCGCAGCCCCGGAACCAGGCGCCCGCCGGAGGAACCAACCAAACUCUUUCUGUAGUCCCCUCGCGGACGUUAUUUCUUACAGCUCUGAGCAAAAAUUCAAAAUGAAUCAAAACUUUCAACAACGGAUCU